CCUGGGGAGUACGGCCGCAAGGUUAAAACUCAAAUGAAUUGACGGGGGCCCGCACAAGCGGUGGAGCAUGUGGUUUAAUUCGAUGCAACGCGAAGAACCUUACCUACCCUUGACAUCGUGCGAACUUGGUAGAGAUACCUUGGUGCCUUCGGGAACGCACAGACAGGUGCUGCAUGGCUGUCGUCAGCUCGUGUUGUGAAAUGUUGGGUUAAGUCCCGUAACGAGCGCAACCCUUGUCCCUAUUUGCCAGCGAUUCGGUCGGGAAC
Molecule: ribosomal RNA, 266 nt
Filed under: Halomonas gemina
Lineage: Bacteria; Pseudomonadati; Pseudomonadota; Gammaproteobacteria; Oceanospirillales; Halomonadaceae
Description: partial 16S ribosomal RNA
Rfam family: Bacterial small subunit ribosomal RNA
Source: RNAcentral